UGAAUACGAGACGCUAAGGCGUCGAAGUAGUGUAUGUCAUACUUCCAAGAAAAGCUUGCACUGUCAUAGAUAAAAAACGCCUGUACCAUAACCGACACAGGUGGGUAGGUAGAGUAUACUAAGGGGCGCGAGAUAACUCUCUCUAAGGAACUCGGCAAAAUAACUCCGUAACUUCGGGAGAAGGAGUGCCUUAUUCGUAAGGUUGCAAUAACAAGAUCCAAGCAACUGUUUAUCAAAAACACAGGUCUCCGCUAAGUCGUAAGACGAUGUAUGGGGGCUGACGCCUGCCCAGUGCCAGAAGGUUAAAGAAGUUGGUUAGCGAUUGCGAAGCUGAUAACUGAAGCCCUGGUGAACGGCGGCCGUAACAAUAACGGUCCUAAGGUAGCGAAAUUCCUUGUCGGGUAAGUUCCGACCCGCACGAAAGGCGUAAUGAUUUGGAUACUGUCUCGGAGAGGGGCUCGGUGAAAUAGACUUGUCUGUGAAGAUGCGGACUACCUGCACCAGGACAGAAAGACCCUAUGAAGCUUUACUGUAACUUGAAAUUGAAAUUGGACUUUAUUCGCGCAGUAUAGGUGGGAGGCGUUGAUUAUAAUCUUGUGGGAUUAUUGGAGCCAUCAGUGAGAUACCACUCUUGUAAUGUUAGAUUUCUAACUUUGAAUCAUUAUCUGGUCAAAGAACAGUUUCAGGCGGGCAGUUUGACUGGGGCGGUCGCCUCCUAAACGGUAACGGAGGCGUACAAAGGUUUCCUCUGAACGGUUAGAAAUCGUAUCUAGAGUGUAAAGGCAUAAGGAAGCUUGACUGUGAGACCUACAAGUCGAGCAGGGACGAAAGUCGGUCUUAGUGAUCUGACGGUACUGAGUGGAAAGGCCGUCACUCAACGGAUAAAAGUUACUCUAGGAUAACAGGCUGAUCUCCCCCAAGAGUUCACAUCGACGGGGAGGUUUGGCACCUCGAUGUCGGCUCAUCGCAUCCUGGGGCGGUAGUACGUCCCAAGGGUUGGGCUGUUCGCCCAUGAAAGCGGUACGCGAGCUGGGUUCAGAACGUCGUGAGACAGUUCGGUCCAUAUCCGGUGUAGGCGUUAGAAUAUUGAGAGGAGCCUUCUUUAGUACGAGAGGACCGAGAAGGACAUACCUCUGGUGUACCAGUUAUCGUGCCAACGGUAAACGCUGGGUAGCUAUGUAUGGAGUGGAUAACCGCUGAAAGCAUCUAAGUGGGAAGCCCACCUCAAGAUAAG
This 1234-nucleotide ribosomal RNA is filed under the name metagenome. RNAcentral's name for it is "bacterial LSU rRNA". It matches the Rfam family "Bacterial large subunit ribosomal RNA", at positions 1564 to 2808 of the family's 2925-position model. The record is from RNAcentral.